Molecule: ribosomal RNA, 406 nt
Filed under: uncultured bacterium
Lineage: Bacteria
Description: partial 16S ribosomal RNA
Rfam family: Bacterial small subunit ribosomal RNA
Source: RNAcentral
AUUGAACGCUGGCGGCAGGCUUAACACAUGCAAGUCGAACGAGUGGCGGACGGGUGAGGAAUGCUUGGGAAUCUAGCUUAUGGAGGGGGAUAACUACGGGAAACUGUAGCUAAUACCGCGUACCAUAGGAUGAGCCCAAGUGGGAUUAGGUAGUUGGUGAGGUAAAGGCUCACCAAGCCGACGAUCUCUAGCUGGUCUGCAAGGAUGACCGGCAACAAUGUGACUGAGACACGGUCCAGACGCUGACGGGAGGCAGCAGUGGGGAAUAUUGCACAAUGGGCGCAAGCCUGAUGCAGCCAUGCCGCGUGUAUGAAGAAGGCCUUCGGGUUGUAAAGUACGUUCAGCGAGGAGGCGUUACUCGCAGAAGAAGCACCGGCUAACUCCGUGCCAGCAGCCGCGGUAAUUC